UUUUUUUUGUUUUAAAAGUGUUAUCUUAAUAUCAAUAGUAUAAUAUUACUCGUGUCUUUGAUUAAUAUUAGACCUAUCUCGUAUUCCUGUGUUCAUCGAAUACCUGAAAAGCCCAACCUGACAAUCAAAUAAGGGUUGUACCUGCUUAAACUUCUGAUCGAAUAACAAAAAUAAAAAUCACAAAAAUACAUUUCAACAGAUGAUUUUGGUUCGAGGCGAAAUGGAAAAAACAAAUAAGGAGAUAUUAAAACCAAUAAAAGCCUAGAAACAAACACAUCGUUCAAACUCAAAGAUUAUUAAUGGCAUUUAUUCAGUAAAUUCUUGAAAACGAUUAAAAAUUGUACAAUUAAUCUACAAGCUACUUAGAAAACGGGGAUUAAUGCUGAUCAUGAUCAACGUCAAAUCACAAAUAAAUUGAAUGAUGUGAAAAUCGGUGAUAUAAAGGACGACGACUACAAGAGUGAUUUGAGUCUGACGAGAUCAAACAAACCUAUUACUGCUAGAUCUAUGGAUCCAAAUUGAAUUUUAAUAAUUAUUGAAAUCUUAUUAGCAUAAUGUGGAAACUAAACACGAAAUCAACCAAAUAAAAUUUAAAAAAAUAAGAUUGCAUGCAUUCAUUGAUACAAUAAUUUGGUAAAUUCUGUUCAGCAUAUUUACUAUUUACUAAUAUUUAUAUUAAAUUAUAAUAUCAUAGAUAAAAACGCGGAGAGUAGUACUAAUCGACUAAUAAAAACGUAAAAAAGUAAAUAUUCAACAUGUGUAUAGGUAUAGUAUUAGGUAUGUAUAUGAUGAUUGAUGACAGUUAAAAGCUGUAUGAUAUUUUUGGUGAAUCUAAAAUUUGUUGAAAUAAUUUUAUCAUGUCGGUAAUAUUUAAUUUCAAUAAUACUAUCAUACCUUAUGUAUGAAGGAUGUAUUUAUUUAAUUUUUUUUACAUUAAAAUUAUUUUUAUUAAGCUGUUAUUGUAUAAAAACCUGUGAUACAUUUUUUUUCUAAAUGUAGCGCAUAAACGAACACCUACCACGUUUAAAAGUCACGGAAACAUAGAAAUAGGUCUUCUGUGAA
Molecule: long non-coding RNA, 1062 nt
Organism: Aphis gossypii (cotton aphid)
Lineage: Eukaryota; Metazoa; Arthropoda; Insecta; Hemiptera; Aphididae
Exons: 3
Source: RefSeq, a predicted model, not a curated record